AGGCCAGACUCCUACGGGAGGCAGCAGUCGGGAAUAUUGCACAAUGGAGGAAACUCUGAUGCAGUGACGCCGCGUGCAGGAAGAAGGUUUUCGGAUUGUAAACUGCUUUAGACAGGGAAGAAACAAGACAGUACCUGUAGAAUAAGCUCCGGCUAACUACGUGCCAGCAGCCGCGGUAAUACGUAGGGAGCAAGCGUUAUCCGGAUUUAUUGGGUGUAAAGGGUGCGUAGACGGGAAUUUAAGUUAGUUGUGAAAUCCCUCGGCUUAGCUGAGGAACUGCAACUAAAACUGAAUUUCUUGAGUGCGGGAGAGGAAAGUGGAAUUCCUAGUGUAGCGGUGAAAUGCGUAGAUAUUAGGAGGAACACCAGUGGCGAAGGCGACUUUCUGGACCGUAACUGACGUUGAGGCACGAAAGUGUGGGGAGCAAACAGGAUUAGAUACCCGGGUAGCU
This 451-nucleotide ribosomal RNA is filed under the name uncultured bacterium. RNAcentral describes it as "bacterial SSU rRNA". It matches the Rfam family "Bacterial small subunit ribosomal RNA", at positions 328 to 795 of the family's 1533-position model. The record is from RNAcentral.